This 253-nucleotide ribosomal RNA is filed under the name uncultured bacterium. Its description in RNAcentral is "partial 16S ribosomal RNA". It matches the Rfam family "Bacterial small subunit ribosomal RNA", at positions 524 to 776 of the family's 1533-position model. The record is from RNAcentral.
UACGUAGGGGGCAAGCGUUGUCCGGAUUUAUUGGGCGUAAAGAGCGUGUAGGCGGCCAGAUAGGUCCGUUGUGAAAACUCGAGGCUUAACCUCGAGCUGUCGGCGGAAACCAUCUGGCUAGAGUCCGGAAGAGGAGAAUGGAAUUCCCGGUGUAGCGGUGAAAUGCGCAGAUAUCAGGAAGAACACCCGUGGCGAAGGCGGUUCUCUGGGACGGUACUGACGCUGAGACGCGAAAGCGUGGGGAGCGAACAGG